Long non-coding RNA from Felis catus (domestic cat), 1363 nucleotides. RefSeq lists it as uncharacterized. NCBI's taxonomy places the organism in Eukaryota, Metazoa, Chordata, Mammalia, Carnivora, Felidae. The transcript is spliced from 3 exons. The record is from RefSeq and is a predicted model, not a curated record.
CUGUCUCUCUUCUUGGAUUUUAAAAGAAAGCAAGCAAAACAGCCAGGAGUUUUCCCCGGGAGUGAGAAAAACAGCCUGGCCAGCCUGCCCUCUCCUGGGGGUUACAGGAUUGCUGACAGCUCGGGUCCACGUGAUGGUCUAGAAAAGAGGCUCAAGCUGAGGAAAAUCCAAGAAAUCUUCUUAGGAGUCUUCCUUUCUAAAUGUAAAUGACUGAGUCAGUGCUUUGCUAAGGAGGGAAGGAAGUCACAAUCCGGCCGAGUGACUCAUUCAGUGCUGUUAGCUCCGGGAGUUGGAUAAAAAGUUUUAGCCAAAGCAGCAACAAAUCUACUUUAAAUACUAGCACAGUAAGGAAAUUCCUCUCUUUCAGGCCGAAUGCCACCCGCACAAAAGAACUCCUGUUGACAUCUCAUUUACAAUCUCCCCCAGGACACAGACAAGACCAUUUCAAUAAACCCGGCUCAGAGACACCUAUUGUUCGGAAUCUUCAACUAGCAACAGGCUUCCACCACAACCUAUUGUUUUGUAAAAUAAAGGAUUUUGAAGGAGAAGGAUUGAGACUGUGGACGCCAUGAAAAGAGGAAGGAAAAAAGUCCCUUUGACCUGAUGCUGUCACAGAGCGUGCAAGAAGAAUGAAGUUAAUGGAUUUCCAUUUUUAUAAGAAGUGCAUAAGAAACGCCUGUUAAGUUUCUGAACUGGUGAUGGAGAAUUCCAAAUUUGCUGCCAGCUUGGUGCAUCGAGAAGCAAACUCCUGCCCACGGGUUUGCUAAAUGCAAAGCCCCGGGCUAUACUUACCCUAUUCUCAGCCUUACCAAAGUCCUGAUAGCCCCAAUAGCAGAGCACCAGAAAAUUUGUCAGAAAAUUGUGAUAAGAAGAAAUUGACUUCAAAGUGCAUUCUAACAAAGAAAAAAAAGUCACUACUGUAAUUCUGUAUAAAAGGACCUCAAUGCUGUUGACUUUUCCCAGCAGCCAUGACUUUGGGGGAUGGCCAGCCCCUUCCUAGAUUUGGAGGCUGAGUCUUGUUUGAUGGGAAGAUUGAUGGGAAUGCUUCUGGGAAGGAUCACCCCCAUAUCCCUUUUCUUCCUCUGGAUACUGUCAUCACCAAGAGAUACCCUGAACUGUGGCUGCCAUCUGGGGACCGCAAAGAGCAUCUGCCUGAGAAGACAACCCACAGUGAAGAUGACAGGUGGAAACAUGGCAGGAAGCUGGUUUGGAUAUCUUCAGUGGCCACCUUACCUCUAGAUUUGCUGUUACUGAGAAAAUGAAUGCCUUUCCCAUCUAAGUCACUUUGAUUUUAUUUCUAAAAUUUUAUUUGCUUAUUUAUUGAUUUGGCUUAGAGUUAUGCAAAUGGAUUUAUAUAUGCUAA